RNAcentral lists this ribosomal RNA (417 nucleotides) under actinobacterium SCGC AAA278-P20. RNAcentral describes it as "bacterial SSU rRNA". It matches the Rfam family "Bacterial small subunit ribosomal RNA", at positions 345 to 778 of the family's 1533-position model. The record is from RNAcentral. Lineage: Bacteria; Bacillati; Actinomycetota; Actinomycetes.
GAGGCAGCAGUGGGGAAUCUUGCGCAAUGGGCGAAAGCCUGACGCAGCAACGCCGCGUGCGGGAUGAAGGCCUUCGGGCUGUAAACCGCUUUCAGCAGGAACGAAAAUGACGGUACCUGCAGAAGAAGGAGCGGCCAACUACGUGCCAGCAGCCGCGGUGACACGUAGGCUCCAAGCGUUGUCCGGAUUUAUUGGGCGUAAAGAGCUCGUAGGCGGUUGAGUAAGUCGGGUGUGAAAACUCUGGGCUUAACCCGGAGACGCCAUCCGAUACUGCUCUGACUAGAGUUCAGGAGGGGAGUGGGGAAUUCCUAGUGUAGCGGUGAAAUGCGCAGAUAUUAGGAGGAACACCGGUGGCGAAGGCGCCACUCUGGACUGAAACUGACGCUGAGGAGCGAAAGCAUGGGUAGCAAACAGGAU